RNAcentral lists this ribosomal RNA (590 nucleotides) under uncultured Bacillus sp. RNAcentral's name for it is "bacterial SSU rRNA". It matches the Rfam family "Bacterial small subunit ribosomal RNA", at positions 118 to 688 of the family's 1533-position model. Lineage: Bacteria; Bacillati; Bacillota; Bacilli; Caryophanales; Bacillaceae. The record is from RNAcentral.
UGGGCAACCUGCCCGUAAGACCGGGAUAACUUCGGGAAACCGGAGCUAAUACCGGAUAACACCGAAGACCGCAUGGUCUUUGGUUGAAAGACGGCUUUGGCUGUCACUUACGGAUGGGCCCGCGGCGCAUUAGCUAGUUGGUGAGGUAACGGCUCACCAAGGCGACGAUGCGUAGCCGACCUGAGAGGGUGAUCGGCCACACUGGGACUGAGACACGGCCCAGACUCCUACGGGAGGCAGCAGUAGGGAAUCUUCCGCAAUGGACGAAAGUCUGACGGAGCAACGCCGCGUGAGCGAAGAAGGUCUUCGGAUUGUAAAGCUCUGUUGUUGGGGAAGAAUAAGUACCGUUCGAAUAGGGCGGUACCGUGACGGUACCUAACGAGAAAGCCACGGCUAACUACGUGCCAGCAGCCGCGGUAAUACGUAGGUGGCAAGCGUUGUCCGGAAUUAUUGGGCGUAAAGCGCGCGCAGGCGGUCCUUUAAGUCUGAUGUGAAAGCCCACGGCUCAACCGUGGAGGGUCAUUGGAAACUGGGGAACUUAAUCCAUAUGACUAGUAGAUCCUCUAGAGUCGACCUGCAGGCAUGCAAGC